CAGCAGCCACGGUAAUACGAGGGGGGCAAGCGUUGUUCGGAAUUAUUGGGCGUAAAGCGUGCGUAGGCGGCUUCUUAAGUCGGAUGUGAAAUCCCUGAGCUUAACUUAGGAAUUGCAUUCGAUACUGGGAAGCUAGAGUAUGGGAGAGGAUGGUAGAAUUCCAGGUGUAGCGGUGAAAUGCGUAGAGAUCUGGAGGAAUACCGAUGGCGAAGGCAGCCAUCUGGCCUAAUACUGACGCUGAGGUACGAAAGCAUGGGGAGCAAACAGGAUUAGAUACCCGUGUAGUCCCUGUCUCUUAUAC
RNAcentral lists this ribosomal RNA (301 nucleotides) under uncultured bacterium. RNAcentral's name for it is "partial 16S ribosomal RNA". It matches the Rfam family "Bacterial small subunit ribosomal RNA", at positions 509 to 807 of the family's 1533-position model. The record is from RNAcentral.